GACAGAAACCAGGCAGGACAGAAACUCAUGUUACACUGAUCUAAGGCUUUCUUCUCUUCUUUUGACAUUAUUUCAGAUUUUUAUUCUAGUCUGCCUUUAGUACCCUGGACUUGAUUUUGGUUGAUGUGUAAGCAAGACAUUCUGUUCACAGAUAUCAAAUAUCUCUGAAAGAUUUUAGUCUAUAGGAAUACUAUGGGAAGAUAGCAUUAACAGCAUUGUUAGUCAUAAAAGAGGUAUUUUUCUCCUACAUAUGUGUUUUAGAAGAUGGUGGAGGGGCAUCAGCAUCCAUUCAGAUUUUCAGGGUUAUAAGGUGCACCAAGUGAGAAAAAGAGAGGUAAAAUGGAAUCAGAGUCACUAUAGCAACUAUGCAAGGACAGCUCCAUGCUAUCACAUAUGAGUUAACCUGUUUUGUAUAGUAAUAUCUGAACACCAUAAUAGGAUAAUUGGUGAGGAACAUCUGCAUCUAAACCUAGUAAUCUACUGUAGAAGAAUCAUAUACAAAUGAAAAAUAAUAUAAUCUACACAUGAACCUUAUAUCACACAUAGUUGUGUAUAUAUAAAAUAGAUAUAACAUAUAUAUUACACCCACAUAUUCCCUACACAAUUAUGUGUAUUAACUAAUUCAUAAACAAUUGGUUUUUGUAUUCAUGGGAUUCUUUCUCAAAUUCAACCAACUUUAACUGGAAAAUAUUAAGUAAAACUUUUUAUGAGCUGAAUGUGUAUGAAUCUUUUCUGUUGUUCUAAUUUAUUGAAGAUCAGUAAGAGGGCUAUUUCUGUAGUAAUUACAUUAUGUUUGAUUUUCAAAUAAUCUAGAGGCUACUUAAGAUACAUAAGAUGAUAUAUGUGUGUGAAAUGCAUAUAUAUCCUUCAAUUUAAUAUAAAGGAAUUAAAUAUCAUUGAAGUUUAGUGCUUGUGAGAAAUCUUGGAACAAAUCUAUGAUGCUGAAGACAGAAAUGUAUAUGUUUGUAUAUGUGUACACUUCUCCCUGUUCAUCUACUCCUGUGGGUGUAUGUGUAUGUGUGAAUAUAUAUAUAUAUUCCUAUGUGUUCUGUGUGUGCAUAUCUAUGUUGGGUGUGUCUGGUCCUCUGCACUUGUGUAUGUGUUUUAUCCAUUCACAACAACCUUAUAAACUAGGCUUAUCAUUCUUUUAUUGCAGAAAAAACAUUAAUUGCUAAUGCUAGAGAAUCUUCUGGAAUCUGCAUUCCUCAUUUGAGAAAAAUUUUAUAUUACUUGAAGGAAAGAUUUGGCAAAAUUUAGUGAAGGCUUCAGCAAGGCGUAGGGAAAUUAGUAGAUUUAGCAAACAUGGACCAAGGCACUGCCCUGAAAGAGCAAGCGCUGACUGUAAAGCUGGAUUUGGAUGGCUGUAGAGGCUUCUUCUUUCAUCUGUGACUAAUUUAGGGAGGUGUUGAUCAGACUCUUGUGUGAAUGUAGAAAACUGUGAUGAACUUUUAUUGAAUGAUAGACCCAAGGGGGUUUUACUCCCAUUGCUUCAUUGUAGAAAUAAGAAAUUGAAGACAAGAGGGGGUGUCAUUGUCUCAAACUGAAAAGCCAGAGCACAUUGGGGCCAGGAUUCAAAUGAGGAAGACAGCACCAAGACCUUAUCUCCUAACAGCUAAGAUGAUGUGCUAACACAGUAGUCUGAAAAUAAUGCAGUUGGGGGGACAGUCAGUUGUCAUGGAAAUACCAUUAAUUCAUUAAGAGACCCUCACAUUUAUUGAAUAAUUGCACAGGAUAGUGUUUCAUGAAGUAGUAGAGGUUCAAAUGGUUCCAUUUCAUUUCCCAUGAGUCUCUUAGGCAUUACUCAUUAUGUCCCCUUAGUAUUUCUUGACCAGUUGUUAGAGUAGCAAAUAAUUUCUCAAUCAUGAAUGUAGUAUGUUUCCUGUUACAAAGCAUACACAAUCCAUACAAUAUUAUAAUCCAUGUGAGAACAUAGGAAAGUUAUACCUUUUAAAACUCCAGAGUAAAUGGAUUCUAUUUUCGAUUGGUGUCAUUUGUGGGAAAAGAGGCCACACCCCAACCUCACUGGAAACAAACCACUGUCUCCACACUCAUACACCCCAACUCCCACUCUCACGUACCCCAAGCCUCACACGCAUGUAUAUGCACUCCAACUCUUAUGUCAUAAACCCCAGUUCUCACACUUGCACACCUAAGCAUCCAUAUCAGCAUACCCAAGCCAACCCCACAACUCAGUCCUUAAACUCCAGACCCCACAGCUACCCACACCCAUCCUCGAUACUUACUAAUUGUUCCUUAUCAAGAAUGAUUUCUACCCUUUUAUGACAAGUUUCAAUUUCUAAAUUUAUGACCCAGAGGCUAUGGAGAAUUUUGAAAGGACAUGGAAAGCAUUAGGGCUGAGCAAGGAAGAAGAGAGUCAAGAGAACUGUCUUGGGAAGGGCUGAGUAUAGAGCCCUCUCCUGUUGAGGCUGAAAAUUAUGUUAAUAGACCUCACCUGCUGUCUCUUGUUCCGAGAAACAGGGGCUGAUGGCAUUUGAUAUCUUCCCUCAUUUGAUAUGUUUUCCAUCUAUCAGGACACAGCACACAAAUCAAACAUGUGACACACACACACACACACACACACACACACACACACACACACACACACAAAUGCCCUGUUAAGAUUUCCUCUAACUGACAACCUUAGAGAAACCAUGUAUUAAACUCUCCCAGCUGUUUUGUUUGUUUGUUUUAAGGCUACCUUUAUUAGUGAACCUGUGUAUAGCACUUACAUAAUGGGACUCUUUUAAGUCAUGGCUUAGUUGUUCAGAAUAGCACCUUUUUAGAACGCCUUUGCUCCUGCCAUUCAAACAAUUUGCUGUUACAUAAAACAAACCACUAUCACUCAUAGUAUCAUAGGAUUAAAUUUAAUUAACAAAAAUAUCAAAAGAACAUAAAAUUAGCAUUAAGCAAGCAGGAAGUCAAUGAUAUUAAGAACUCCUGGGGCAUCUCAGUCCUUAAACAUUACACUUACCUCAUUUAUGUCACUGAUAAUGUUUAAAAUAAUCCUCAUUAUCUCAACAGCCAUCGAAGCUGCUUGCUGCUUUCUGGGGUUUACACAUCUCCCAAUUUUCCUCCCAACUAUUCUGCUGAGUGAGCGAAGAUAAUGCCAGUCUCAGAGAGACCUGAGGGAUGAAUUGUUUAAACAGCUCAACAGGAAAAGAUGAAGCACGAAAAGGGAUCACGAAAAAGGAGGGAGAGACCAAGAAUGAGCUGGUUAUUAUGGUGACCAUGACAGAGGAGUGAAAAUCAAUAAAUACUUUAUGGGGAACAGAGAAAACCUCCUCAACUUUAAGGAGUACAAAAUCAAAGCAAAUGACAAUGUCUGGGCUGCCAGGAACGAACAAACAGCCUUCUGUCUACAUGCUUCCUCUCCCCUGCUCUCUGAGAGGACUGAAUUGUUUUCCUCUUCCUCUGGAUUCUUAACUGAAGAAAGAUAAGAUAAAAGAAUGCUGGAUGGUAUUCAUAGACACUCAUAGUUUCUAUGGCAUGUAAGAAACUGAACAGUGCUGAGUGGUUAGGAAUUCAGGAGGGAGGAGCAUUUUGAGAUGAUGUUGGAGGCAGAAACCUGAAAGUGUGGAGAGAGAGGAAAGAAAAGGAAAAAGAAAAGAGGGGCCUGAAGGCUUAUUAUCUGGAAUGAAGUAUUGUAUGGAACAUACAUCUCUAAAUAUUAGUAUUUUGGUACUUGAAAAUGGUUAAUUUUUUUCAACAUUGAAAUCUAUUAGAGAUAGAUACAGAGACGGGUAGACAGACAGGGGAGAGAGAAAGGUUAGUUGACAUUCAUACUACUAGGAAAACCUGUAAACCGUAUUGUUCUCACAGGAAUCGAAUCAGUGGUACUGUGGGUAUCUUUAGAAUUAAAAGGUGGCAGAGUCUCUCGCUCUGAAUGGAUGGAUCUGAGUAACAUUAACCUUUUCACUUGCUCUAACAAAGACAAGUGAAGACAAGAUGUACCAUGACUGCUUCCUGGCUAUUUUGUGUCUAGCCCAAGGCCCUCUGCACCUGACAAUUAUCUCACACUUCAGAACUAAUUUUCUACAUGUUUUCUUACACUGUAUUUGCACUAACCCUACAAUACACAAUCUCAUUAACUCAUUUCUUUAAGGAAAGGAGCUUUUUGUGAGGAUGUACAAGACAUACUUAUUCAACAAGAUAAUAAUGGAGUAUAUCUUUAUAGCUUUUGUUAAUAAUAUUGGCCCCCAUCCAAAGUACAUGUGAUUUUGUUCCUCUUUGGCUUUGUAAAUAUGACAUUUUGUACUAUUUAAAGCAGGAAUGCUGAUUAUUUUAUUCCUAGUCCUGAAUUUGAGUGUUCAGGUUGGUCAGUUUUAGGCUGAUGCAAAAAUGAUAGAGAAAUACAAUUGUAAUAUAGAAACUGACAUUUCAACAGCAGUAAUCUUAUUAAAUAAAUA
This is a long non-coding RNA of Myodes glareolus (Bank vole), 4406 nucleotides long. RefSeq lists it as uncharacterized. Lineage: Eukaryota; Metazoa; Chordata; Mammalia; Rodentia; Cricetidae. The record is from RefSeq and is a predicted model, not a curated record.